RNAcentral lists this ribosomal RNA (474 nucleotides) under uncultured organism. RNAcentral's name for it is "partial 16S ribosomal RNA". It matches the Rfam family "Bacterial small subunit ribosomal RNA", at positions 334 to 799 of the family's 1533-position model. The record is from RNAcentral.
CACUCCUGCGGGAGGCAGCAGUGGGGAAUAUUGCACAAUGGGCGCAAGCCUGAUGCAGCCAUGCCGCGUGUAUGAAGAAGGCCUUCGGGUUGUAAAGUACUUUCAGCGGGGAGGAAGGCGAUAAGGUUAAUAACCUUGUCGAUUGACGUUACCCGCAGAAGAAGCACCGGCUAACUCCGUGCCAGCAGCCGCGGUAAUACGGAGGGUGCAAGCGUUAAUCGGAAUUACUGGGCGUAAAGCGCACGCAGGCGGUCUGUCAAGUCGGAUGUGAAAUCCCCGGGCUCAACCUGGGAACUGCAUUCGAAACUGGCAGGCUAGAGUCUUGUAGAGGGGGGUAGAAUUCCAGGUGUAGCGGUGAAAUGCGUAGAGAUCUGGAGGAAUACCGGUGGCGAAGGCGGCCCCCUGGACAAAGACUGACGCUCAGGUGCGAAAGCGUGGGGAGCAAACAGGAUUAGAUACCCUAGUAGUCCCAUG